CCGUGCUGCCAGAGCGCAUGAC
RNAcentral lists this microRNA (22 nucleotides) under Macaca mulatta (Rhesus monkey). Its description in RNAcentral is "mml-miR-7189-5p". Lineage: Eukaryota; Metazoa; Chordata; Mammalia; Primates; Cercopithecidae. The record is from miRBase by way of RNAcentral.